ACGAAGGGUGCAAGCGUUACUCGGAAUUACUGGGCGUAAAGCGUGCGUAGGCGGUCUGUUAAGUCUGAUGUGAAAUCCCCGGGCUCAACCUGGGACCUGCAUUGGAUACUGGCGGGCUAGAGUACGGUAGAGGGUGGUGGAAUUCCCGGUGUAGCAGUGAAAUGCGUAGAGAUCGGGAGGAACACUCGUGGCGAAGGCGGCCACCUGGACCAGUACUGACGCUGAGGCACGAAAGCGUGGGGAGCAAACAGGAUUAGAUACCCUGGUAGUCCACGCCCUAAACGAUGCGAACUGGAUGUUGGGCUCACUUCGGAGCUCAGUAUCGAAGCUAACGCGUUAAGUUCGCCGCCUGGGGAGUACGGUCGCAAGACUG
RNAcentral lists this ribosomal RNA (373 nucleotides) under uncultured bacterium. RNAcentral's name for it is "bacterial SSU rRNA". It matches the Rfam family "Bacterial small subunit ribosomal RNA", at positions 525 to 896 of the family's 1533-position model. The record is from RNAcentral.